RNAcentral lists this unclassified non-coding RNA (480 nucleotides) under uncultured fungus. Its description in RNAcentral is "partial contains small subunit ribosomal RNA, internal transcribed spacer 1, and 5.8S ribosomal RNA". The stretch from base 1 to 73 matches the Rfam family "Eukaryotic small subunit ribosomal RNA", at positions 1759 to 1831 of the family's 1831-position model. The record is from RNAcentral. Lineage: Eukaryota; Fungi.
ACAAACUUGGUCAUUUAGAGGAAGUAAAAGUCGUAACAAGGUUUCCGUAGGUGAACCUGCGGAAGGAUCAUUAAUAUAGAUCUUUAUGAUCUUAGUGUUCUGCUGAACUACUGGAUUAGGACGAACUGCCGUCACAUUCCGGACUGGCUUGUAGAGAGGCCUGAUCAUGGUUGCUGCUUAUAUAGGUUGAAUUUCUCAGCUUCGUGCAUAGUACCUUCUCCUCAAGCGGCCGUCAUAGAACAGGUACUCGCCCAGUCGCGGAUUGCUACGACGUUCAUCUUAGCAGUAGUUUAGCAUCUCCGGUCAUAUCGAUCCUGUAAACGCGGGUCGAUGUGGCUGGAUAAACACGCUGCUUCGGUAUGCUAAAACAUGCCGAAGCAGCACCCACACUCGAAUUACAUUAGUCUGAUUAUUAUAAAGAAAAUUCUUAAAACUUUCAACAACGGAUCUCUUGGUUCUCGCAUCGAUGAAGAACGCAGC